RNAcentral lists this long non-coding RNA (1330 nucleotides) under Malus domestica (apple). Its description in RNAcentral is "long non-coding RNA (MDOM_LNC007515)". Lineage: Eukaryota; Viridiplantae; Streptophyta; Magnoliopsida; Rosales; Rosaceae. The record is from RNAcentral.
UUAUGUAUCUUUGCUUUGUGAGUAUGAGGAACUAAACCCCUCUUAGUUAGGGGGUGAUUUGAAACUAUGUUCAUACUUGCAAUAUGAUUUGAUUACAUCCAGUUGUGAUUCAUAAGUUGUGAAUUCAAUUUACUUAUCCUUUCAUAUAAAAACUAAUUUGUGUAUGUUGGUUAAGAGUGCACGCUUAAUUUUCAUGCAUGAAUUUGACGCUAGAAUAUAAGGGAGUUUCACCUAAUUGUUAUAAACUUAUAUUCACAAGUAGUGAAGGUUGCUAGUCACAAUCACGUUAAGUAAACUCUUGGCAUAAGUUUCAUGCAAAUCAUAGUAACGAGUGCCUCGUCAAUGCUUAUGUUUUUCAUAGAACUUAAUGAUUCUUGCUUGUAUCUCUAUUAUGCAAUUCAUGUAGGGAACUUGUAGGGAAUGUUUUGGGUUGUCGUAUGCAAUCAUCCAACCUAAUAACUUGUGGAAAAAAACUGAGGGUUAAUUAGUGCAAUUCACGGUUAAUUUGGGGCGUUGAGUAUUCAUAGCUUAUCGAAAAGCAACUGGAAAUCGUUUUGUAUGCAAGUAUGUGGAGAAGAACCUCCUAGCUAAUCUUCCAUCCAUAAGUUUCAUUCAAAUUCACUUACAAUCUGUUUUGUUUUACAAAGUUUGUUUUGUUUUCAAAUUCAUUAAAACCAAAAUGCCCCUUUUACUUUAUUGUUUCAAAGUGUUUAAUUUCUGUUUUGGUUGUGUGUUAGAGUGUUUUGAUUCACCCAAAUUUGUCUAAGAAUUUGUUUACUUUGUUCUUGUCUUAAUUUAAUUAUUUUCGUAAAAAAUCAACCCCAUCUUAUUUCUUUGAGUCAUAUUAAUUAGAACUUGUCUCAGAUUAUGUUUUUAAGUGUUUUAGUUCAUUAGAAAACCAAAAUUUGUCCAAGUUUGUGUGAGAGUCCCAAAAUUGCCCAGAUUGUGUUUUUAAGGUAGUUUUGAGUGUUUAGGGGCUGUUUUGAGUCUUUUGGUUUGUUUUAGUGUUUUAAAGUAUAGUUUUGCAUUCUUUGAGUCUAGUUAGUGUUUUAAACUUUGUUUUCACGUUUUCAAGUCAGUUUCCAAGUGAUUUAGCAAUCCCUCCUAAUCCCCGGCCUAGAACGAUCCCUACUUACAUACUUUACUACAAUUGAUAAAAAGAGGGUUUAAUUUGUGUGUUUAGUUAUUUUACGCAUCAAAUUUUGGCGCUGUUGCCGGGGAUUAGCAACUUUGCUAAUCUCUUGGAUUGUUUUCUUUCGAAUUAUUGUAUUUUGUUUAAGUUUUUGUUUAAGUUGCUGAUUUGUUUUGUUUUCUUUGUUUUUAGGUACUA